Molecule: long non-coding RNA, 1090 nt
Filed under: Homo sapiens (human)
Lineage: Eukaryota; Metazoa; Chordata; Mammalia; Primates; Hominidae
Description: HSALNT0267857
Source: RNAcentral
GGGUUUCUCCAUGUUGGUCAGGCUGGUCUCGAACUCCUGACCUCAGGUGAUCCAGCCACCUUGGCGUCCCAAAGUGCUGGGAUUACAGGCAUAAGCCACCACGCCAGGCCCAUUUUGUUUCUUUUACAAGCAUGUGCUUUUGUAAGCAGAAAAACUCUACCACAUGAGAUUGGCAUGGGAACAGGAGACAAAUCAAUAGAACAGAACUCAAGUCUAGAAACAGACUCCUACAUAUUUGGGAAUCUAGUAUAUGAGGAGGACACUUCAAACCACAGGUGAAGAUACCACGUCGGAUGACUUCUGGAAAAAAAAAAAUCGAUCCCUACCUUUCUGCAUACACCAGAAAUAAAUUCCAGGUGGAGUAAGAUUUAAGUGUAAAAAAUAAAACCCUAAGAAAAAAAUAUAAAUGAAUGUUUUAUAACCUUGGGAUACAAGUUGGGGGAGUCUUUCUAGGGAUGAUACCAAAGGGAAAACUAUAAAAGACUGAUAAAUUUUCCUAUCUAAAAAUGUAAAACUUCUAUACACCCCUAACUGCCAUGAACUAAAUUAUUAUGAUUUCUGGAAUUCAUCAUCUUAAAAACACACUCUCCAUCUUCUCAUGAGGCUGGGAAACAGGAGGGGCUAAUAAACUUCCCUCUGCCUUGGAGACCAGGCCAGAUGUGAACGGGGAGGGCAGGGAGGGGCAAAGGUGUUGAACUUUGGGGAGGUGCAUGAACCAAGACCCCUGGAACGCGAGAGAGUGGUCUGAUCUAGAGGAAGCCCUGGGGUCUGCAGGCUGUAGGAGGUGUCCCGGAAUGAGGGCGCUCUUGUGGAUGGAAAAGCUAGUUCAAGCUGUGGGGGCACCCACAGGCACAUGGUGGUUGCAGAGGUGGGAGGAAGACAAAACAAGAACAGGGCCCCAGAUGCCGCAGGGGCAGUGUGUACUGCUCCACCUGGCAGAGGUCACCAGUGAUUCUGGAGAAUGGACGGGAUACCCUGCGGCCUCCGUGGCAAAGCCUGUUCCUCUCUGUUUGCCCACCAGACUUCAGCAGAUCUGUCUCCUCCACUGCCUGGGAGCUCCCAAGGGCGGAGAAGCUCUGAUACACUGUUU